ACGUAGGGUGCGAGCGUUAAUCGGAAUUACUGGGCGUAAAGGGUGCGCAGGUGGUUACGUAAGUCUGAUGUGAAAGCCCCGGGCUCAACCUGGGAACUGCAUUGGAGACUGCGUGGCUAGAGUGUGGCAGAGGGGGGUGGAAUUCCGCGUGUAGCAGUGAAAUGCGUAGAGAUGCGGAGGAACACCAAUGGCGAAGGCAGCCCCCUGGGUUAACACUGACACUCAUGCACGAAAGCGUGGGGAGCAAACAGGA
RNAcentral lists this ribosomal RNA (253 nucleotides) under uncultured prokaryote. RNAcentral's name for it is "partial 16S ribosomal RNA". It matches the Rfam family "Bacterial small subunit ribosomal RNA", at positions 525 to 777 of the family's 1533-position model. The record is from RNAcentral.